GGUCGUAGCCCAGCUGGAUAGAGCGCAGGACUCCGACUCCUGAGGCCGUGGGUUCGAAUCCCACCGAU
This 68-nucleotide transfer RNA is filed under the name human gut metagenome. It matches the Rfam family "tRNA", at positions 5 to 66 of the family's 71-position model. From Rfam's summary of the family: Transfer RNA (tRNA) molecules are approximately 80 nucleotides in length. Their secondary structure includes four short double-helical elements and three loops (D, anti-codon, and T loops). Further hydrogen bonds mediate the characteristic L-shaped molecular structure. tRNAs have two regions of fundamental functional importance: the anti-codon, which is responsible for specific mRNA codon recognition, and the 3' end, to which the tRNAs corresponding amino acid is attached (by aminoacyl-tRNA synthetases). tRNAs cope with the degeneracy of the genetic code in two manners: having more than one tRNA (with a specific anti-codon) for a particular amino acid; and 'wobble' base-pairing, i.e. permitting non-standard base-pairing at the 3rd anti-codon position. RNAcentral also lists the same sequence under 1 other name. The record is from RNAcentral.